AGAGUUUGAUCAUGGCUCAGAUUGAACGCUGGCGGCAGGCCUAACACAUGCAAGUCGAACGGUAACAGGAAGCAGCUUGCUGCUUUGCUGACGAGUGGCGGACGGGUGAGUAAUGUCUGGGAAACUGCCUGAUGGAGGGGGAUAACUACUGGAAACGGUAGCUAAUACCGCAUAACGUCGCAAGACCAAAGAGGGGGACCUUAGGGCCUCUUGCCAUCGGAUGUGCCCAGAUGGGAUUAGCUAGUAGGUGGGGUAACGGCUCACCUAGGCGACGAUCCCUAGCUGGUCUGAGAGGAUGACCAGCCACACUGGAACUGAGACACGGUCCAGACUCCUACGGGAGGCAGCAGUGGGGAAUAUUGCACAAUGGGCGCAAGCCUGAUGCAGCCAUGCCGCGUGUAUGAAGAAGGCCUUCGGGUUGUAAAGUACUUUUCAGCGGGGAGGAAGGGAGUAAAGUUAAUACCUUUGCUCAUUGACGUUACCCGCAGAAGAAGCACCGGCUAACUCCGUGCCAGCAGCCGCGGUAAUACGGAGGGUGCAAGCGUUAAUCGGAAUUACUGGGCGUAAAGCGCACGCAGGCGGUUUGUUAAGUCAGAUGUGAAAUCCCCGGGCUCAACCUGGGAACUGCGUCUGAUACUGGCAAGCUUGAGUCUCGUAGAGGGGGGGUAGAAUUCCAGGUGUAGCGGUGAAAUGCGUAGAGAUCUGGAGGAAUACCGGUGGCGAAGGCGGCCCCCUGGACGAAGACUGACGCUCAGGUGCGAAAGCGUGGGGAGCAAACAGGAUAGAUACCCUGGUAGUCA
This 800-nucleotide ribosomal RNA is filed under the name uncultured bacterium. RNAcentral describes it as "bacterial SSU rRNA". It matches the Rfam family "Bacterial small subunit ribosomal RNA", at positions 8 to 796 of the family's 1533-position model. The record is from RNAcentral.